This 254-nucleotide ribosomal RNA is filed under the name uncultured bacterium. Its description in RNAcentral is "partial 16S ribosomal RNA". It matches the Rfam family "Bacterial small subunit ribosomal RNA", at positions 524 to 776 of the family's 1533-position model. The record is from RNAcentral.
UACGUAGGGUGCGAGCGUUGUCCGGAAUUAUUGGGCGUAAAGAGCUCGUAGGCGGUCUGUCGCGUCGAUCGUGAAAACUUGGGGCUUAACCCUGAGCUUGCGGUCGAUACGGGCAUGACUGGAGUUCGGCAGGGGAGACUGGAAUUCCUGGUGUAGCGGUGGAAUGCGCAGAUAUCAGGAGGAACACCGGUGGCGAAGGCGGGUCUCUGGGCCGAUACUGACGCUGAGGAGCGAAAGCGUGGGGAGCGAACAGG